AGAGUUUGAUCCUGGCUCAGAUUGAACGCUGGCGGCAUGCCUUACACAUGCAAGUCGAACGGCAGCACGGGAGCAAUCCUGGUGGCGAGUGGCGAACGGGUGAGUAAAGUAUCGGAACGUGCCCAGUCGUGGGGGAUAACGUAGCGAAAGCUACGCUAAUACCGCAUACGAUCUAUGGAUGAAAGCGGGGGAUCGCAAGACCUCGCGCGAUUGGAGCGGCCGAUAUCAGAUUAGGUAGUUGGUGGGGUAAAGGCCUACCAAGCCGACGAUCUGUAGCUGGUCUGAGAGGACGACCAGCCACACUGGGACUGAGACACGGCCCAGACUCCUACGGGAGGCAGCAGUGGGGAAUUUUGGACAAUGGGCGCAAGCCUGAUCCAGCAAUGCCGCGUGCAGGAUGAAGGCCUUCGGGUUGUAAACUGCUUUUGUACGGAGCGAAAAGGCUUCCACUAAUACUGGAGGCUCAUGACGGUACCGUAAGAAUAAGCACCGGCUAACUACGUGCCAGCAGCCGCGGUAAUACGUAGGGUGCAAGCGUUAAUCGGAAUUACUGGGCGUAAAGCGUGCGCAGGCGGUCUUGUAAGACAGGUGUGAAAUCCCCGGGCUUAACCUGGGAACUGCACUUGUGACUGCAAGGCUGGAGUACGGCAGAGGGGGAUGGAAUUCCGCGUGUAGCAGUGAAAUGCGUAGAUAUGCGGAGGAACACCGAUGGCGAAGGCAAUCCCCUGGGCCUGUACUGACGCUCAUGCACGAAAGCGU
Molecule: ribosomal RNA, 759 nt
Filed under: uncultured bacterium
Lineage: Bacteria
Description: bacterial SSU rRNA
Rfam family: Bacterial small subunit ribosomal RNA
Source: RNAcentral